AUUGAACGCUGGCGGAAGGCUUAACCCAUGCAAGUCGAGCGAGCGGCGGACGGGUAAGAAGUGUCUGGGAAACUGCAUGAUGGAUGGGGAUAACUACUGGAAACGGUAGCUAAUACCGCAUACCAUCAGAGGUGCCCAGAUGGGAUUAGCUAGUGGGUUGGGUAAGGGCUCACCUAGGCGACGAUCCCUAGCGGGUCUGAGAGGAUGAACAGCCACACUGGAACGGAGACACGGUCCAGCCUCCUACGGGAGGCAGCAGUGGGGAAUAUUGCACAAUGGGCGCAAGCCUGAUGCAGCCAUGCCGCGUGUGUGAAGAAGGCCUUCGGGUUGUAAAGCACUUUCAGCGAGGAGGCGUUACUCGCAGAAGAAGCACCGGCUAACUCCGUGCCAGCCGCCGCGGUAAUAC
Molecule: ribosomal RNA, 406 nt
Filed under: uncultured bacterium
Lineage: Bacteria
Description: partial 16S ribosomal RNA
Rfam family: Bacterial small subunit ribosomal RNA
Source: RNAcentral